RNAcentral lists this ribosomal RNA (460 nucleotides) under uncultured bacterium. RNAcentral describes it as "partial 16S ribosomal RNA". It matches the Rfam family "Bacterial small subunit ribosomal RNA", at positions 338 to 795 of the family's 1533-position model. The record is from RNAcentral.
CCUACGGGAGGCAGCAGUGAGGAAUAUUGGUCAAUGGGCGAGAGCCUGAACCAGCCAAGUCGCGUGAAGGAUGAAGGAUCUAUGGUUUGUAAACUUCUUUUAUAUGGGAAUAAAGUGAGGAACGUGUUCCUGUUUGUAUGUACCAUAUGAAUAAGCAUCGGCUAACUCCGUGCCAGCAGCCGCGGUAAUACGGAGGAUGCGAGCGUUAUCCGGAUUUAUUGGGUUUAAAGGGUGCGUAGGUUGUUUUUUAAGUCAGCGGUGAAAGUUUGUGGCUCAACCAUAAAAUUGCCGUUGAAACUGGAAGACUUGAGUGUGUUUGAGGUAGGCGGAAUGCGUGGUGUAGCGGUGAAAUGCAUAGAUAUCACGCAGAACUCCGAUUGCGAAGGCAGCUUACUAAGCCAUAACUGACACUGAAGCACGAAAGCGUGGGGAUCAAACAGGAUUAGAUACCCUUGUAGUC